This 72-nucleotide transfer RNA is filed under the name archaeon. RNAcentral describes it as "tRNA-Gly". It matches the Rfam family "tRNA". From Rfam's summary of the family: Transfer RNA (tRNA) molecules are approximately 80 nucleotides in length. Their secondary structure includes four short double-helical elements and three loops (D, anti-codon, and T loops). Further hydrogen bonds mediate the characteristic L-shaped molecular structure. tRNAs have two regions of fundamental functional importance: the anti-codon, which is responsible for specific mRNA codon recognition, and the 3' end, to which the tRNAs corresponding amino acid is attached (by aminoacyl-tRNA synthetases). tRNAs cope with the degeneracy of the genetic code in two manners: having more than one tRNA (with a specific anti-codon) for a particular amino acid; and 'wobble' base-pairing, i.e. permitting non-standard base-pairing at the 3rd anti-codon position. The record is from RNAcentral.
GCGACCGUGGUGUAGUGGUUAGCAUCUGAGCUUCCCAAGCUCGUGACUCGGGUUCAAAUCCCGGCGGUCGCA